AUUGAACGCUGGCGGCAUGCCUUACACAUGCAAGUCGAACGGCAGCACGGGAGCUUGCUCCUGGUGGCGAGUGGCGAACGGGUGAGUAAUACAUCGGAACGUACCCUGAAGUGGGGAGUAACGUAGCGAAAGUUAACGCUAAUACCGCAUAUUCUGUGAGCAGGGAAGGCAGGGGAGUCGCAAGACCUUGCGCUCUGGGAGCGGCCGAUGUCGGAUUAGCUAGUUGGUGGGGUAAAGGCCUACCAAGGCGACGAUCCGUAGCGGGUCUGAGAGGAUGAUCCGCCACACUGGGACUGAGACACGGCUCAGACUCCUACGGGAGGCAGCAGUGGGGGAAUUUUGGACAAUGGGCGAAAGCCUGAUCCAGCCAUGCCGCGUGAGUGAAGAAGGCC
Molecule: ribosomal RNA, 392 nt
Filed under: uncultured bacterium
Lineage: Bacteria
Description: bacterial SSU rRNA
Rfam family: Bacterial small subunit ribosomal RNA
Source: RNAcentral